AGGGUGGAAUCCGAAAAACCCAUACCAAUCGAGUAGGAA
Molecule: non-coding RNA, 39 nt
Filed under: unclassified sequences
Source: RNAcentral